This 1126-nucleotide non-coding RNA is filed under the name Caenorhabditis japonica. Its description in RNAcentral is "Eukaryotic large subunit ribosomal RNA". It matches the Rfam family "Eukaryotic large subunit ribosomal RNA", at positions 1370 to 2441 of the family's 3401-position model. Lineage: Eukaryota; Metazoa; Nematoda; Chromadorea; Rhabditida; Rhabditidae. The record is from Rfam by way of RNAcentral.
GGUCGCGACGAGUAGGAAGGACGUGGCGGUUGGCGUUGAAAGGCUAUGAAGCGUAGGCUCGGCUGGAGCCUUCCGUCAGUGCAGAUCGUAAAUGGUAGUAGCAAAUAUUUCAAGUUCGAUCCCUUGAAGACUGAAGUGGAGAAGGGUUCCACGUGAACAGUAGUUGGAUGUGGGUCAGUCGAUCCUAAGGUACUGGCGAAAGCCUUGUAUCAUCGGUGGCGAAAAGCUUGCUUUUUGUCCCCGCCCGUCGAAAGGGAAUAGGGUUAAUAUUCCCUAACUGAGAUGCAAAGAUUGUGUUCUUCGGAGCACAAGCGCGGUAACGCGUUCGAACUUGGUAAGUCGCUCAGAGACCGAGCUAGAGUUUUCUUCUCUAGUUAAGGAACGGACUCCCUGGAAUUGGUUCAGCCAGAGAUGGGGACGUUGUUUCCGAAAAGCACCGCGGUUUCUGUGGUGUCUCGUGCUCUCUGAACGGCCCUUUAAACACCAAGGGAGGCUAUUAAUUUGCACUCAAUCGUACCGAUAUCCGCAUUAGGUCUCCAAGGUGAACAGCCUCUAGUCGAUAGAAUAAUGUAGGUAAGGGAAGUCGGCAAACUAGAUCCGUAACUUCGGGAAAAGGAUUGGCUCCAGUGGUCGGAACGGUUGGCCAGUUGGUUGAUGCUUGUCCGGCGCUGUUCUGUCUGCUUGAUGCUUUCGGGCUGAUGGCGGCCUAGUGAUAGUGCUUGCUUGUUGACGCUUUCUGGUGUGAGCUUUGACCUCGGUCUUAGUAUCCUGAUCGUUCAUCUAAACGACUAAACUGGAACCGGUACGGACUCAGGGAAUCCGACUGUCUAAUUAAAACAGAGGUGACAGAUGGUCCUUGCGGACGCUGACUGUCACUGAUUUCUGCCCAGUGCUCUGAAUGUUAAAUCGUAGUAAUUCGAGUAAGCGCGGGUAAACGGCGGGAGUAACUAUGACUCUCUUAAGGUAGCCAAAUGCCUCGUCAUUUAAUUGUUGACGCGCAUGAAUGGAUUAACGAGAUUCCUACUGUCCCUAACUACUAUCUAGCGAAACCACAGCCAAGGGAACGGGCUUGGCAAAAAUAGCGGGGAAAGAAGACCCUGUUGAGCUUGACUCUAGUUUGACAUUG